Molecule: long non-coding RNA, 1492 nt
Filed under: Brassica rapa (field mustard)
Lineage: Eukaryota; Viridiplantae; Streptophyta; Magnoliopsida; Brassicales; Brassicaceae
Description: long non-coding RNA (BRAP_LNC007521)
Source: RNAcentral
AAAUUGAAUGUAUAUUUAUCUUUGUUUUUUUUUUGUAACACAUUCUUCAUUCAUAACUUAAACGAUUACAUGGACAAAUGCAACAUCGGACAUACGAGGUCCUUUUAGAAAUUACAAGAACAAAGCAAAAUAAAGAUAGAGACACAAACUUAGACAAGUUUGAUAGAGUGUGAAAAUUAAUUUAAAGGAGCCACUCGCGAAUAAGCUCAUGGAGAAAGUACUUCGCCCUUCAAACUUUUCAGACAUGGGGAAUAGUCACCGUACAUCGUGACGUUGAACGCUUCACAGCCUCAAGUCUCACCGGGAUGAAUCUCGUUGUAUCUUCCGGUCCCAAACGAACCAUUACACAAGCGGUUAGGAAAACGAAAAUACUCAUUAGCUUUAACGCCAAGAGAAAGGUACCUCUCAUAGAGAGGAGUUUAAAAUGAUCUCUCAUGGCCCCGACAUGAGGAAAUUUGGCUAGCCAUUGUUGUAAGGAAAGUGGCUGAGGGACUACAAUCUUCAAUCUUUAAUAGACUCUGACCAAAUAAUGGUAGUGAUUCUACACUUGUUUAUGUCAGAGUUGAACGUUGCUGAUGAACUUUGUUUGACGUUUCUGAAUUAACUCCAUCGAUUGCACCAGGAAUCCCACAAACACAGCAUGGUUGUUCAGAUUUUUGCAUUGGGUAGCACGAUAUUAGAAAACAUAGCUGCAGGGUGUCUACGCACGUGAGGAGAAACCAUGGAGGAGAGGAUUCAGAAAUUUUCCCCUUCACACCAACGGACAGAGAUAUUAGCUUGACGAUAGUUUCCAAGGGAGCAAGCAAUGAUAUCAGGCAGACACUUCCACGUCCAGCAUUACCGUGCCGGAGCCAAGCCAAGAAGAUUUGACGAAAUCAAAGUUGAGCCACUGGUCAGUGAAGUCCAAAAAGCUUAGCAAAGGUGAGCAUUUGUUGGUAUGUGCUACUGUGAGUGGUGUUUUCGGUGAGAGUCCAAAGCCGUCAAGGCUCACAUAUUUGGCUCGCAGCGAGCAAAAGGGGUCGAUAUGAUUGGGGAGAGAGGUCUGAGAAGGAUCUUUCCGGAAACCUCUGAAGAAUAGCUUAGUUCCAGUGGACCUUGAAUAACAACCUGAGAUCUGUGCCAGCAGAUCCAUUAUGGUCAGAUUAGGGAGCAGUAAGAAACAGCCGGUGGUUCUACAGGAGUGGAAUGGGCAACGGGUGAGCUUAUCCAACUCCUCCAAGGAGAUACAUCUUCAAACCUUGCCAUUAACAAUUGAAACCAAGCUCAUGUGUAAGAUUCUUCGGGGCUUUGAAAGCUCAGAUUAGAUCUCCAAACACCAAGAGACAAGAGGUUUAAAAACGUACAGUAGAGAGAGAGAGCAGGUUUGAAAGGAACAGAGAGAGGAAGAGCAAGAGUAUCCCGGCGCCAGCUAGAUCAUGGCUUCACCGGGGCUGUCUCGAUAAUUGUGUAUGUAAGCGUUAGGGCGAACUCAAGUAGUAGUAUACACAAGCUU